RNAcentral lists this ribosomal RNA (1359 nucleotides) under uncultured bacterium. RNAcentral describes it as "bacterial SSU rRNA". It matches the Rfam family "Bacterial small subunit ribosomal RNA", at positions 28 to 1381 of the family's 1533-position model. The record is from RNAcentral.
AUUGAACGCUGGCGGCAGGCUUAACACAUGCAAGUCGAGCGGAGAGAGGUAGCUUGCUACUGAUCUUAGCGGCGGACGGGUGAGUAAUGCUUAGGAAUCUGCCUAUUAGUGGGGGACAACAUUUCGAAAGGAAUGCUAAUACCGCAUACGUCCUACGGGAGAAAGCAGGGGAUCUUCGGACCUUGCGCUAAUAGAUGAGCCUAAGUCGGAUUAGCUAGUUGGUGGGGUAAAGGCCUACCAAGGCGACGAUCUGUAGCGGGUCUGAGAGGAUGAUCCGCCACACUGGGACUGAGACACGGCCCAGACUCCUACGGGAGGCAGCAGUGGGGAAUAUUGGACAAUGGGCGCAAGCCUGAUCCAGCCAUGCCGCGUGUGUGAAGAAGGCCUUAUGGUUGUAAAGCACUUUAAGCGAGGAGGAGGCUACUUUAGUUAAUACCUAGAGAUAGUGGACGUUACUCGCAGAAUAAGCACCGGCUAACUCUGUGCCAGCAGCCGCGGUAAUACAGAGGGUGCAAGCGUUAAUCGGAUUUACUGGGCGUAAAGCGCGCGUAGGCGGCUAAUUAAGUCAAAUGUGAAAUCCCCGAGCUUAACUUGGGAAUUGCAUUCGAUACUGGUUAGCUAGAGUGUGGGAGAGGAUGGUAGAAUUCCAGGUGUAGCGGUGAAAUGCGUAGAGAUCUGGAGGAAUACCGAUGGCGAAGGCAGCCAUCUGGCCUAACACUGACGCUGAGGUGCGAAAGCAUGGGGAGCAAACAGGAUUAGAUACCCUGGUAGUCCAUGCCGUAAACGAUGUCUACUAGCCGUUGGGGCCUUUGAGGCUUUAGUGGCGCAGCUAACGCGAUAAGUAGACCGCCUGGGGAGUACGGUCGCAAGACUAAAACUCAAAUGAAUUGACGGGGGCCCGCACAAGCGGUGGAGCAUGUGGUUUAAUUCGAUGCAACGCGAAGAACCUUACCUGGCCUUGACAUAGUAAGAACUUUCCAGAGAUGGAUUGGUGCCUUCGGGAACUUACAUACAGGUGCUGCGUGGCUGUCGUCAGCUCGUGUCGUGAGAUGUUGGGUUAAGUCCCGCAACGAGCGCAACCCUUUUCCUUAUUUGCCAGCGAGUAAUGUCGGGAACUUUAAGGAUACUGCCAGUGACAAACUGGAGGAAGGCGGGGACGACGUCAAGUCAUCAUGGCCCUUACGGCCAGGGCUACACACGUGCUACAAUGGUCGGUACAAAGGGUUGCUACCUAGCGAUAGGAUGCUAAUCUCAAAAAGCCGAUCGUAGUCCGGAUUGGAGUCUGCAACUCGACUCCAUGAAGUCGGAAUCGCUAGUAAUCGCGGAUCAGAAUGCCGCGGUGAAUACGUUCCCGGGCCU